Molecule: ribosomal RNA, 432 nt
Filed under: uncultured bacterium
Lineage: Bacteria
Description: partial 16S ribosomal RNA
Rfam family: Bacterial small subunit ribosomal RNA
Source: RNAcentral
AACGAACGCUGGCGGCAUGCCUAACACAUGCAAGUCGAACGAGACCUUCGGGUCUAGUGGCGCACGGGUGCGUAACGCGUGGGAACCUGCCCUUAGGUUCGGAAUAACUCCCCGAAAGGGGUGCUAAUACCGGAUAAUGUCUUCGGACCAAAGAUUUAUCGCCUUUGGAUGGGCCCGCGUUGGCUUAGCUAGUUGGGAGGGUAAAAGCCUACCAAGGCGACGAUCCAUAGCUGGUCUGAGAGGAUGAUCAGCAACACUGGGACUGGGACACGGCCCAGACUCCGACGGGUGGCAGCAGUGGUGAUCAUUGGACACCGGGCGAAAGCCUGAUCCAGCAAGGCCGCGUGAGUGAUGAAGGCCUUAGGGUUGUAAAGCUCUUUUACCCGGGAUGAUAUUGACAGUACCGGGAGAAUAAGCUCCGGCUACCUCCGU